This 465-nucleotide ribosomal RNA is filed under the name Vreelandella stevensii. RNAcentral's name for it is "partial 16S ribosomal RNA". It matches the Rfam family "Bacterial small subunit ribosomal RNA", at positions 338 to 795 of the family's 1533-position model. Lineage: Bacteria; Pseudomonadati; Pseudomonadota; Gammaproteobacteria; Oceanospirillales; Halomonadaceae. The record is from RNAcentral.
CCUACGGGGGGCCGCAGUGGGGAAUAUUGGACAAUGGGGGGAACCCUGAUCCAGCCAUGCCGCGUGUGUGAAGAAGGCCCUCGGGUUGUAAAGCACUUUCAGUGAGGAAGAACGCCUGGUGGUUAAUACCCAUCAGGAAAGACAUCACUCACAGAAGAAGCACCGGCUAACUCCGUGCCAGCAGCCGCGGUAAUACGGAGGGUGCGAGCGUUAAUCGGAAUUACUGGGCGUAAAGCGCGCGUAGGUGGCUUGAUAAGCCGGUUGUGAAAGCCCCGGGCUCAACCUGGGAACGGCAUCCGGAACUGUCAAGCUAGAGUGCAGGAGAGGAAGGUAGAAUUCCCGGUGUAGCGGUGAAAUGCGUAGAGAUCGGGAGGAAUACCAGUGGCGAAGGCGGCCUUCUGGACUGACACUGACACUGAGGUGCGAAAGCGUGGGUAGCAAACAGGAUUAGAUACCCUGGUAGUC